AUUGAACGCUGGCGGCAUGCUUUACACAUGCAAGUCGAACGGGGUGGGGGGCAACUCCCACUCAGUGGCGAACGGGUGAGUAAUGCAUCGGAACGUAUCCCGUAGUGGGGGACAACGCCGCGAAAGCGGCGCUAAUACCGCAUAUGCUCUACGGAGGAAAGUGGGGGACCGCAAGGCCUCACGCUAUGGGAGCGGCCGAUGUCCGAUUAGCUAGUUGGUGGGGUAAUGGCCCACCAAGGCGACGAUCGGUAGCUGGUCUGAGAGGAUGAUCAGCCACACUGGGACUGAGACACGGCCCAGACUCCUACGGGAGGCAGCAGUGGGGAAUUUUGGACAAUGGGGGCAACCCUGAUCCAGCCAUGCCGCGUGCGGGAAGAAGGCCUUCGGGCUGUAAACCGCUUUUAGUCGGGAAGAAGAGGCCAGGUCUAAUACACCUGGUUCUUGACGGUACCGGCGGAAUAAGCACCGGCUAACUACGUGCCAGCAGCCGCGGUAAUACGUAGGGUGCGAGCGUUAAUCGGAAUUACUGGGCGUAAAGCGUGCGCAGGCGGUUCGUCAAGUCUGAUGUGAAAGCCCCGGGCUCAACCUGGGAAUGGCAUUGGAAACUGGCGAGCUGGAGUGCGGCAGAGGGGGGUGGAAUUCCGCGUGUAGCAGUGAAAUGCGUAGAGAUGCGGAGGAACACCGAUGGCGAAGGCAGCCCCCUGGGCCGACACUGACGCUCAGGC
This 725-nucleotide ribosomal RNA is filed under the name uncultured bacterium. RNAcentral's name for it is "bacterial SSU rRNA". It matches the Rfam family "Bacterial small subunit ribosomal RNA", at positions 28 to 752 of the family's 1533-position model. The record is from RNAcentral.